RNAcentral lists this ribosomal RNA (256 nucleotides) under uncultured bacterium. RNAcentral's name for it is "partial 16S ribosomal RNA". It matches the Rfam family "Bacterial small subunit ribosomal RNA", at positions 524 to 777 of the family's 1533-position model. The record is from RNAcentral.
UACGUAGGGUGCAAGCGUUGUCCGGAAUUAUUGGGCGUAAAGAGCUCGUAGGCGGUCUGUCGCGUCUGCUGUGAAAACCUAGGGCUUAACUCUGGGCGUGCAGUGGGUACGGGCAGGCUAGAGUGCGGUAGGGGGAGACUGGAAUUCCUGGUGUAGCGGUGAAAUGCGCAGAUAUCAGGAGGAACACCGGUGGCGAAGGCGGGUCUCUGGGCCGUAACUGACGCUGGAGGAGCGAAAGCAUGGGGAGCGAACAGGA